GCACAUGGGGAGGUCCCACCACACAUGAGCCUGGACAGUGACCUUCGCCCCCUGGGCUCCCUCAAUGGGAGAACCCCACACCCCUGCACCCCACACCCACACUCCCAAAUGUGUAAACCCACUCAUGCAUAUGCACAGCCGCACACUGACGCACUAACACAAACACAAGCAUCACACCAGCCACGCAUCUGUGGUUGGACUAGGAGGCAGGAGCCCUGCAUUCUAGCUCUGCCUCUGCCCUCAGUGGCCUUAGACACCUCCCUUGCCUUUCUCUGGCCUCAGUUUCCUCAUCUGUAAAAUGGGAGGCAGCGGACGCUGAUGUUUCCGAGGCCCUGCCUGACUUAGACAUGCACGUCUGCCCUCCCCCACUCGGCCACAGGCAGACUUUCAGCACCCCUUGCCUGCGUGGCCUCUGAGCCCAGCCCUCCCCGAUGCUAAAAGCCAGGCCCGUGAAAGGCUCCUCUGUCAUGAGGUGGGCUGGGCCCCCAGCCUGGAACCACACAGGAAACUGCUGCCCAGAGGUCCCCUGGCCCAGAGGACAGGCUCCCUCUGUUCCUCCCACCUACCCCCUCCACCACCCUAGCCCAGGGCCACACUCAGGCUGUGUGUGCCUGUGGGGGAGGGCAGGAGUCCCAGCCUCCUCAGAGCCAGCCUGGCAAUUGUCCACCCAGGGGACCAUUGCCUGCAACCCAGCCAGGGGAGGGAUAAAGGGAGGGACCAGGACACAGGCCUGCUCAGUGUGGGACUCAUGACUAGGGCCCAGAGGGUACUAGGACCCUCCUCAGUUACAGCCUGUUUGGCUCUGAGCCUGAACCUCCAAGAAGCAGACCUGGGAGUACUUAGGCAGCCUCGGGGCCAUGCCCCAUUGAACAGAUGGGGAAACUGAGGCCCAGAGAGACCCAAGGACUGGCUCAGGGUCACAGAUAGGGUUGAGUGGAGCUGGGACUAGAGCAGAGAUUUGCCAGCUCCUGACCCUGAGUUAUCUGAACCACCCCAGAGCUGCUGCUUUAGGGGUCUUCCAGGGGACCCCAGCCUUCUUUGUCCUCCCUCCAUGCUUAAGUGUCCACCAGGCCCUCCUUGGAAGAAGCCACAAGUAAGCAUCAGGACACCCUUCACCUCAUGAAAAGCCACAGCAGAAGCCAACCAGGCUGUCUGGCCCAGGCAGCUGCCCGGCACUUCGGAGAAACUGAGGCUCAAACCACUCCAGAGAUGACAAGUCCUGUCACCUUCAGGGAGGCGGAGGCCAAAGACAAAACUUGAAGGAAGAAAGAAGAUACUUGGACUCCAGGAAAUGAUCACCGUGGAAACCCAUCUGCUGCUUCUUGUCUACGGCUGUUUGUUCCUCCAGCUCUGGGCUGCCUGAGUGUCUCACAGCAGAAUUAGCAAGUGCGGAGGCUGAAGGUUUCUAGAGGCUCUGAGGUCACAGCUCUCGCUUGAGUGCACAUAACUAUAAGCCAUGAUGAGGAAACUGAGGCUUAGAGAGGUUAAAUGACAUGACCAAAGUGUCAACAGCUAACAGGCAGGAAAGCCAGGACUCAAAUCCGGCAGCCUGUUUCCAGAGUCCACGCUUGGAACCACGGAGCUGUAUUUCUUAACAAAGAAAUCUCACUCUGUCGCCCAGGCUAGAGUGCAAUGGCGCAA
RNAcentral lists this long non-coding RNA (1641 nucleotides) under Homo sapiens (human). Its description in RNAcentral is "HSALNT0290924". The record is from RNAcentral. Lineage: Eukaryota; Metazoa; Chordata; Mammalia; Primates; Hominidae.